Zingiber officinale is the source of this 1149-nucleotide RNA transcript. It is a transcript of the gene named very-long-chain aldehyde decarbonylase GL1-10-like, with no coding region annotated. NCBI's taxonomy places the organism in Eukaryota, Viridiplantae, Streptophyta, Magnoliopsida, Zingiberales, Zingiberaceae. The transcript has 5 exons. The record is from RefSeq and is a predicted model, not a curated record.
CCCCCCUUACCUUCUUUAUCCCUAAGCAUUUUCGUUCCUCUUUUCGCACAAUCUCUCGCUCACGGAUGCCCGACUACCUCCUAUUUUACCACAACAUCAUCUUCCUCUUCGUCAUUUUCUCCCUCGCGCCGCUCCUGCUCGCCCUCAUCGAACUCGGCUUCCCUGCCUCCGUCUCCUCUUUCAAGAUCCAAAGCAAGAUCCGCCUCCCGCCGACCUCCUUCUUCCAGUACUAUAAGGACGUCAUGCGGGUGUUCCUCCUCGUUGUCGACCCGCUUCAACUCUCCUCUUACCCCCACCAUCAAGGUGUUACAAGCUGUGAGAAGUGGUGGAAUCUUCAAUUUUGGUAGCAAAAAAUUUAGAGCAGCUCGGAAACAAGGUGGUGCGGACUUAUUUAUAUGCUAUGCUGGGGUUCAGCUGCGAGAAGCUGUUGUAGCAAAAUCCGAUUGGCUUGCCUUCGAUUUUGAAGAACUACUGAGCUCUUUGCAAUAACAUAAGGUCUUCGGAUAAACCUUCCUGAAACUUUCUCCUUGUAUCAAAAAUUGUAUACGGUCAAGAGUUACUAGUGCUUCAGAUAAAGAUGAACUCUUCUAAUAUAUGUUUAUAUUUUGCAAGUUCUAUUGACAAAGUUUCCUAGCAUGCCACCAACGUUUCAAGUAACAUCAAAUGUUUUCCAGGAUUUGACAAUUACAAUUUGAUAUCAACCAGAUGACACGAUCUGGCGGAUUUAGCUUAGGAGGAACUUUUCAAUCUAGCCUUCAGCAACAGCAACUGCAUACUACCACAACCCAUAGUUUGAGCCUGCCAAGGGUCUUUAUAAAACAUUUGGUUCUUCAUGGUUUGAUGAAUCUGCCAAGGGGGAGCUUGAGUACUGCAGUCCAACAUGUUAUUAUGCCAAAACACCACCACCUCUACAUGUAAGCUUUUAUGUUGUGGUUUUAUUUGCCGAUAUGAAUGGGGUACUUGAAGAGUAUGUGAUUUAUCAAAUAUGUUAUUGUGGUUGUAGCAACUGCAUUUCUCUAAAUUUCAGCUUUCAACCUUGUUUUAUGUCUUCUACAGGUAUUAUAUUCUUUCCCUUUUUUUUUUUUUGGUGCUUUGCUCACAUACUUUGCUUCACAAAAAUCCAGAAUGUUGGAAAAGGUUGACAUGGAA